AACGAACGCUGGCGGUAUGCUUAACACAUGCAAGUCGAACGAAUUUUUAUAAAGCUUGCUUUAUAAAAAUUAGUGGCAAACGGGUGAGUAACGCGUGGGAAUCUACCCAUCAGUACGGAAUAACACUUGGAAACAAAUGCUAAUACCGUAUAUUCUCGAAAGAGGAAAGAUUUAUCGCUGAUGGAUGUGCCCGCGUUAGAUUAGGUAGUUGGUGGGGUAAUGGCCUACCAAGCCAACGAUCUAUAGCUGGUCUGAGAGGAUGAUCAGCCACACUGGGACUGAGACACGGCCCAG
This 294-nucleotide ribosomal RNA is filed under the name uncultured bacterium. RNAcentral describes it as "partial 16S ribosomal RNA". It matches the Rfam family "Bacterial small subunit ribosomal RNA", at positions 29 to 334 of the family's 1533-position model. The record is from RNAcentral.